UACGGAGGGUGCGAGCGUUGUUCGGAAUUACUGGGCGUAAAGCGCGUGUAGGCGGCUAUUUAAGUUUGGUGUGAAAGCCCGGGGCUUACCCCCGGAAGCGCACUGGAUACUGGAUGGCUAGAGUACUGGAGAGGAGGGUGGAAUUCCUGGUGUAGCGGUGAAAUGCGUAGAUAUCAGGAAGAACACCGGUGGCGAAGGCGGCCCUCUGGACAGAUACUGACGCUGAGACGCGAAAGCGUGGGGAGCAAACAGG
Molecule: ribosomal RNA, 253 nt
Filed under: uncultured bacterium
Lineage: Bacteria
Description: partial 16S ribosomal RNA
Rfam family: Bacterial small subunit ribosomal RNA
Source: RNAcentral